RNAcentral lists this ribosomal RNA (1887 nucleotides) under Campylobacter jejuni. RNAcentral's name for it is "partial 23S ribosomal RNA". It matches the Rfam family "Bacterial large subunit ribosomal RNA", at positions 1 to 1754 of the family's 2925-position model. Lineage: Bacteria; Pseudomonadati; Campylobacterota; Epsilonproteobacteria; Campylobacterales; Campylobacteraceae. The record is from RNAcentral.
AAAAAAGGUAAGCUACUAAGAGCGAAUGGUGGAUGCCUUGACUGGUAAAGGCGAUGAAGGACGUACUAGACUGCGAUAAGCUACGGGGAGCUGUCAAGAAGCUUUGAUCCGUAGAUUUCCGAAUGGGGCAACCCAAUGUAUAGAGAUAUACAUUACCUAUAUAGGAGCGAACGAGGGGAAUUGAAACAUCUUAGUACCCUCAGGAAAAGAAAUCAAUAGAGAUUGCGUCAGUAGCGGCGAGCGAAAGCGCAAGAGGGCAAACCCAGUGCUUGCACUGGGGGUUGUAGGACUGCAAUGUGCAAGAGCUGAGUUUAGCAGAACAUUCUGGAAAGUAUAGCCAUAGAGGGUGAUAGUCCCGUAUGCGAAAAACAAAGCUUAGCUAGCAGUAUCCUGAGUAGGGCGGGACACGAGGAAUCCUGUCUGAAUCCGGGUCGACCACGAUCCAACCCUAAAUACUAAUACCAGAUCGAUAGUGCACAAGUACCGUGAGGGAAAGGUGAAAAGAACUGAGGUGAUCAGAGUGAAAUAGAACCUGAAACCAUUUGCUUACAAUCAUUCAGAGCACUAUGUAGCAAUACAGUGUGAUGGACUGCCUUUUGCAUAAUGAGCCUGCGAGUUGUGGUGUCUGGCAAGGUUAAGCAAACGCGAAGCCGUAGCGAAAGCGAGUCUGAAUAGGGCGCUUAGUCAGAUGCUGCAGACCCGAAACGAAGUGAUCUAUCCAUGAGCAAGUUGAAGCUAGUGUAAGAACUAGUGGAGGACUGAACCCAUAGGCGUUGAAAAGCCCCGGGAUGACUUGUGGAUAGGGGUGAAAGGCCAAUCAAACUUCGUGAUAGCUGGUUCUCUCCGAAAUAUAUUUAGGUAUAGCGUUGUGUCGUAAUAUAAGGGGGUAGAGCACUGAAUGGGCUAGGGCAUACACCAAUGUACCAAACCCUAUCAAACUCCGAAUACCUUAUAUGUAAUCACAGCAGUCAGGCGGCGAGUGAUAAAAUCCGUCGUCAAGAGGGAAACAACCCAGACUACCAGCUAAGGUCCCUAAAUCUUACUUAAGUGGAAAACGAUGUGAAGUUACUUAAACAACCAGGAGGUUGGCUUAGAAGCAGCCAUCCUUUAAAGAAAGCGUAAUAGCUCACUGGUCUAGUGAUUUUGCGCGGAAAAUAUAACGGGGCUAAAGUAAGUACCGAAGCUGUAGACUUGCGCACAACUUAGAUUAUUUAAGUUUAGAAUAUGAGAAACUAAGUUAUGUUUAGUUAUAUUUUUACUGAUUUUUAUAGAGUAAAGAUAGAAAUAAAACUUAGUAAAAUCAGUAAAAAUAUUCUUAGGCUAAAGUUAAGUAGUUUAAGUUGUGUGCAAGUGGUAGGAGAGCGUUCUAUUUGCGUCGAAGGUAUACCGGUAAGGAGUGCUGGAGCGAAUAGAAGUGAGCAUGCAGGCAUGAGUAGCGAUAAUUAAUGUGAGAAUCAUUAACGCCGUAAACCCAAGGUUUCCUACGCGAUGCUCGUCAUCGUAGGGUUAGUCGGGUCCUAAGUCGAGUCCGAAAGGGGUAGACGAUGGCAAAUUGGUUAAUAUUCCAAUACCAACAUUAGUGUGCGAUGGAAGGACGCUUAGGGCUAAGGGGGCUAGCGGAUGGAAGUGCUAGUCUAAGGUCGUAGGAGGUUAUACAGGCAAAUCCGUAUAACAAUACUCCGAGAACUGAAAGGCUUUUUGAAGUCUUCGGAUGGAUAGAAGAACCCCUGAUGCCGUCGAGCCAAGAAAAGUUUCUAAGUUUAGCUAAUGUUGCCCGUACCGUAAACCGACACAGGUGGGUGGGAUGAGUAUUCUAAGGCGCGUGGAAGAACUCUCUUUAAGGAACUCUGCAAAAUAGCACCGUAUCUUCGGUAUAAGGUGUGGUUA